GCGCGAAGUCUUUACACUACACGAAAGUGUGAUAAGGGAACUCUGAGUGCUCAUACACUGUAUGGGCUUUUGCCAAGAGUAAAUAUCUUGGAGAAUAAGUGGUGGGCAAGACCGGUGCCAGCCGCCGCGGUAACACCGGCGCCACUAGUGGUGGCCUAGUAUUUGGCCUAAAGCAUCCGUAGCUGGUUAGUUAAAUCUCUUGUGAAAUUGUUGAGCUCAACUCAACAGCGUGCAGGAGAGACUGGCUAACUUGAGACCGGGAGGGGCUAGAAGUAUUCUAUGGGGAGCGGUAAAAUGCUAUAAUCCACAGAAGACUACCUAUAGCGAAGGCAUCUAGCCAGAACGGAUCUGACAGUGAGGGAUGAAAGCCAGGGGAGCAAAACGG
Molecule: ribosomal RNA, 385 nt
Filed under: uncultured euryarchaeote
Lineage: Archaea; Methanobacteriati; Methanobacteriota
Description: bacterial SSU rRNA
Rfam family: Archaeal small subunit ribosomal RNA
Source: RNAcentral